This 292-nucleotide ribosomal RNA is filed under the name uncultured bacterium. RNAcentral describes it as "partial 16S ribosomal RNA". It matches the Rfam family "Bacterial small subunit ribosomal RNA", at positions 505 to 796 of the family's 1533-position model. The record is from RNAcentral.
GUGUCAGCCGCCGCGGUAAUACAGAGGGUGCGAGCGUUGUCCGGAAUCACUGGGCGUAAAGGGCGCGUAGGUGGCGCCCCAAGUCGAUGGUGAAAGCUCGUCGCUCAACGACGAGUCGGCCACCGAUACUGGGGUGCUUGAGCACUGUAGAGGCUAAUGGAAUUCCGGGUGUAGCGGUGGAAUGCGUAGAGAUCCGGAAGAACACCGGUGGCGAAGGCGGUUAGCUGGGCAGUUGCUGACACUGAGGCGCGACAGCGUGGGGAGCAAACAGGAUUAGAAACCCUAGUAGUCC